RNAcentral lists this long non-coding RNA (893 nucleotides) under Salvia miltiorrhiza (redroot sage). Its description in RNAcentral is "long non-coding RNA (SMIL_LNC000797)". Lineage: Eukaryota; Viridiplantae; Streptophyta; Magnoliopsida; Lamiales; Lamiaceae. The record is from RNAcentral.
GUUCGAGUUGCGUCACGCCGCCUUCUUCCUCCGUUCCGGUCCCGAUUCAGAUGUCAAAGCAGCGGGGAGUCGAGCCUUGUUCUUUUCCGUCCUCUGCCGCCAUGGUUCUGCCGCCAUCUCCACCGUUUGUGGAAGAUCAGCGAUUCAGCGCCGUUGUUUCGUUCGUGACGCUGCUGCUGUUGUCACGCAAUUUCCGCCGAGGCAGCAGGAGAUGCCGCUGAAAUCUGUCCUCUGCUCAAGAACCGGCUCAAGCCUCACUCUCUCCCUUUUCUAUUGAAUUAUGGUAUUUCUAUAAUUGAUUAUGCAAGAGAUAAAACUAAGUUCGUGGUUUACUAAUGUAUCAGAAAUUUACCUUGCUUGCUCGUGUGAUAGAAAAUAUAGCAUAAACUGAUUUCUGCCUAAAGAUCAUAUGAGUUUGCUAAGUCUCUUUAUGAAUAUACUCAUUGUAUGCUUAGUAUCCUUUAAUCGAUCAUGCUUGUUGGAUGAAAAACGAAUGGAUUGAAUGAGCUGAGCCUAGUGUUUACCUUGUCUAUUUGUGCUUGAUUGGCUGAUCUGUUUUCUUCUUCUUGGUGAAAAUUUGUUGGCAUAUACUGUUUGAAUAAGGAGAUCUCGGAGAUUAUAGAUGUUAUUUCGGGUGUUUUUUUUUUCUGUGUGAAACUUGGUUUUGAUGUUGGCAUGAGCUUGCUGUAAACAUUCUGUUGGAAUAUACGAAUUGGAUUUUCUUAAACAGCUCCACUGGCGAUCUAUUGAGUAAGAAGGGAGAAGGAUUUGGUGGGGAGCAAAAGAUAAUGGAGUUGGUGGUGCACUAGUGUGGUGGGGGAAAAGUAAAGUAGUGGUGGGGAGGUAGGUAUAAUGGGAUUUGGUGGAGUGGAGAAGUGGGGAGUAAAGACGUG